UGAGAUUUUAACACGAAGUGAGUGGCGGACGGGUGAGUAACACGUGGGUAACCUGCCCAGAAGCAGGGGAUAACACCUGGAAACAGAUGCUAAUACCGUAUAACAGAGAAAACCGCCUGGUUUUCUUUUAAAAGAUGGCUCUGCUAUCACUUCUGGAUGGACCCGCGGCGCAUUAGCUAGUUGGUGAGGUAACGGCUCACCAAGGCGAUGAUGCGUAGCCGACCUGAGAGGGUAAUCGGCCACAUUGGGACUGAGACACGGCCCAGACUCCUACGGGAGGCAGCAGUAGGGAAUCUUCCACAAUGGACGCAAGUCUGAUGGAGCAACGCCGCGUGAGUGAAGAAGGGUUUCGGCUCGUAAAGCUCUGUUGUUAAAGAAGAACGUGGGUGAGAGUAACUGUUCACCCAGUGACGGUAUUUAACCAGAAAGCCACGGCUAACUACGUGCCAGCAGCCGCGGUAAUACGUAGGUGGCAAGCGUUAUCCGGAUUUAUUGGGCGUAAAGCGAGCGCAGGCGGUCUUUUAAGUCUAAUGUGAAAGCCUUUCGGCUCAACCGAAGAAGUGCAUUGGAAACUGGGAGACUUGAGUGCAGAAGAGGACAGUGGAACUCCAUGUGUAGCGGUGAAAUGCGUAGAUAUAUGGAAGAACACCAGUGGCGAAGGCGGCUGUCUGGUCUGUAACUGACGCUGAGGCUCGAAAGCAUGGGUAGCGAACAGGAUUAGAUACCCUGGUAGUCCAUGCCGUAAACGAUGAUUACUAAGUGUUGGAGGGUUUCCGCCCUUCAGUGCUGCAGCUAACGCAUUAAGUAAUCCGCCUGGGGAGUACGACCGCAAGGUUGAAACUCAAAAGAAUUGACGGGGGCCCGCACAAGCGGUGGAGCAUGUGGUUUAAUUCGAAGCUACGCGAAGAACCUUACCAGGUCUUGACAUCUUCUGCCAACCUAAGAGAUUAGGCGUUCCCUUCGGGGACAGAAUGACAGGUGGUGCAUGGUUGUCGUCAGCUCGUGUCGUGAGAUGUUGGGUUAAGUCCCGCAACGAGCGCAACCCUUAUUACUAGUUGCCAGCAUUCAGUUGGGCACUCUAGUGAGACUGCCGGUGACAAACCGGAGGAAGGUGGGGACGACGUCAAAUCAUCAUGCCCCUUAUGACCUGGGCUACACACGUGCUACAAUGGAUGGUACAACGAGUUGCGAAACCGCGAGGUUUAGCUAAUCUCUUAAAACCAUUCUCAGUUCGGACUGUAGGCUGCAACUCGCCUACACGAAGUCGGAAUCGCUAGUAAUCGCGGAUCAGCAUGCCGCGGUGAAUACGUUCCCGGGCCUUGUACACACCGCCCGUCACACCA
Molecule: ribosomal RNA, 1343 nt
Filed under: Pediococcus acidilactici
Lineage: Bacteria; Bacillati; Bacillota; Bacilli; Lactobacillales; Lactobacillaceae
Description: bacterial SSU rRNA
Rfam family: Bacterial small subunit ribosomal RNA
Source: RNAcentral